RNAcentral lists this ribosomal RNA (924 nucleotides) under uncultured bacterium. RNAcentral describes it as "bacterial SSU rRNA". It matches the Rfam family "Bacterial small subunit ribosomal RNA", at positions 86 to 1022 of the family's 1533-position model. The record is from RNAcentral.
UUUGGUUUAGUGGCGGACGGGUGAGUAACGCGUGAGCAACCUGCCUUUCUGAGGGGGAUAACGUUUGGAAACGAACGCUAAUACCGCAUAACAUAUAUUUGUGGCAUCGCAGAUAUAUCAAAGGAGCAAUCCGCAGAGAGAUGGGCUCGCGUCCGAUUAGCUAGAUGGUGGGGUAAUGGCUCACCAUGGCGACGAUCGGUAGCCGGACUGAGAGGUUGAACGGCCACAUUGGGACUGAGACACGGCCCAGACUCCUACGGGAGGCAGCAGUGGGGGAUAUUGCACAAUGGGCGAAAGCCUGAUGCAGCAACGCCGCGUGAGGGAAGAAGGUAUUCGUAUUGUAAACCUCUGUCUUUGGUGAAGAAAAAAAUGACGGUAGCCAAGGAGGAAGCCACGGCUAACUACGUGCCAGCAGCCGCGGUAAUACGUAGGUGGCAAGCGUUGUCCGGAAUUACUGGGUGUAAAGGGUGCGCAGGCGGGUAUGCAAGUUGGAUGUGAAAACUAUGGGCUCAACCCAUAGCUUGCAUCCAAAACUGUGUAUCUUGAGUGAAGUAGAGGUAGGCGGAAUUCCGAGUGUAGCGGUGAAAUGCGUAGAUAUUCGGAGGAACACCAGUGGCGAAGGCGGCCUACUGGGCUUUAACUGACGCUGAGGCACGAAAGCAUGGGGAGCAAACAGGAUUAGAUACCCUGGUAGUCCAUGCUGUAAACGAUGAUUGCUAGGUGUGGGGGGUCUGACCCCUUCCGUGCCGGAGUUAACACAAUAAGCAAUCCACCUGGGGAGUACGGUCGCAAGACUGAAACUCAAAGGAAUUGACGGGGGCCCGCACAAGCAGUGGAGUAUGUGGUUUAAUUCGAAGCAACGCGAAGAACCUUACCAGGUCUUGACAUCCAACUAACGAAGCAGAGAUGCAUCAGGUGCCCUUC